GCCCGCUUGGCAAAGUGGUUAUCGCGCUGCACUUGUAAUGCAGAGGUCACUCGUUCAAAUCGGGUAGUGGGCA
Rickenella mellea is the source of this 73-nucleotide non-coding RNA. NCBI's taxonomy places the organism in Eukaryota, Fungi, Basidiomycota, Agaricomycetes, Hymenochaetales, Rickenellaceae. The record is from the annotation of a GenBank genome assembly.